Long non-coding RNA from Etheostoma cragini (Arkansas darter), 119 nucleotides. RefSeq lists it as uncharacterized. NCBI's taxonomy places the organism in Eukaryota, Metazoa, Chordata, Actinopteri, Perciformes, Percidae. The transcript is spliced from 3 exons. The record is from RefSeq and is a predicted model, not a curated record.
UAACAUUUUCAAUGCAGGACUUACUUGUAAAAGAGUACUUUUACAGUGUGGUAUCAGUACUUUUACUUCAGUAAAAGGAUCGGAAUACUUCUCCCACCACUGGAGGAAUCACAUACAAA